UGGCGGCAGGCUUAACACAUGCAAGUCGAACGGAAACAGAGAGUAGCUUGCUACUUUGCUGUCGAGUGGCGGACGGGUGAGUAAUGCUUGGGAAUAUGCCAAAACGUGGGGGACAACAGUUGGAAACGACUGCUAAUACCGCAUAAUGUCUUCGGACCAAAGCAGGGGACCUUCGGGCCUUGCGCGUUUUGAUUAGCCCAAGUGGGAUUAGCUAGUUGGUAAGGUAAUGGCUUACCAAGGCGACGAUCCCUAGCUGGUCUUAGAGGAUGACCAGCCACACUGGAACUGAGACACGGUCCAGACUCCUACGGGAGGCAGCAGUGGGGAAUAUUGCACAAUGGAGGAAACUCUGAUGCAGCCAUGCCGCGUGUGUGAAGAAGGCUUUCGGGUUGUAAAGCACUUUCAGUGGGGAGGAAAGGGUGUACGUUAAUAGCGUGCAUCUGUGACGUUACCCACAGAAGAAGCACCGGCUAACUCCGUGCCAGCAGCCGCGGUAAUACGGAGGGUGCGAGCGUUAAUCGGAAUUACUGGGCGUAAAGCGCGCGUAGGUGGUUAAUUAAGUCAGAUGUGAAAGCCCAGGGCUCAACCUUGGAACUGCAUUUGAAACUGGUUAACUAGAGUUUUGUAGAGGGUGGUAGAAUUUCAGGUGUAGCGGUGAAAUGCGUAGAGAUCUGAAGGAAUACCAGUGGCGAAGGCGGCCACCUGGACAAAGACUGACACUGAGGCGCGAAGGCGUGGGGAGCAAACGGGAUUAGAUACCCCGGUAGUCCACGCAGUAAACGAUGUCUAUUAGAAGUUUGUGGCUAUAUGCCGUGGGUUUCAAAGCUAACGCAUUAA
RNAcentral lists this ribosomal RNA (837 nucleotides) under uncultured Psychromonas sp. RNAcentral describes it as "bacterial SSU rRNA". It matches the Rfam family "Bacterial small subunit ribosomal RNA", at positions 37 to 863 of the family's 1533-position model. Lineage: Bacteria; Pseudomonadati; Pseudomonadota; Gammaproteobacteria; Alteromonadales; Psychromonadaceae. The record is from RNAcentral.